AACCUUAUGGACCUGCGGGCGUAUACCUGCGGAAGGAUCAUUACAACGAAAAAACGCUCCCGAAAGGGACGUUAUUUCACACCAUUGUGUACCAAACUUUUGUUGCCUCGGUGGGUCGGGCUGCGCCUACCCGGCCAGUCCCCCUUAGGGAGCCGCCCACCGCAGGACCUUUCAAACCAGUUCGUUGAUGAACGUCUGAUUUUAUCUUUUAAAGAAAUACAACUUUCAACAAUGGAUCUC
This 240-nucleotide unclassified non-coding RNA is filed under the name soil metagenome. RNAcentral describes it as "partial contains 5.8S ribosomal RNA, internal transcribed spacer 2, and large subunit ribosomal RNA". The record is from RNAcentral.